GCCGAAGUGGUGGAAUUGGUAGACACGCUGUCUUGAGGGGGCAGUGGGCUACGCCCGUGCCGGUUCGACUCCGGCCUUCGGCACCA
This 86-nucleotide transfer RNA is filed under the name Desulfobacterales bacterium. RNAcentral describes it as "tRNA-Leu". It matches the Rfam family "tRNA". From Rfam's summary of the family: Transfer RNA (tRNA) molecules are approximately 80 nucleotides in length. Their secondary structure includes four short double-helical elements and three loops (D, anti-codon, and T loops). The record is from RNAcentral. Lineage: Bacteria; Pseudomonadati; Thermodesulfobacteriota; Desulfobacteria; Desulfobacterales.